AGAGAGCGACAGGGAGAGAGGAGGGCAAACAUGGGCCAGAGGGCAACCCGGGUUUGGAAAGCCUUCUUCGAAUGAGGCCAGAGCCCCAGGGCAGGCCUCGUGAUUAUUUCCACAGCACGAACAUAAAAUUCCUGAGCGUCGCCAACUCCUUCAUGUUAGGGAAGAGUUUGAAAGGGAGACCCAACGAAGGGGUGACUUGGCCAGAGAGAACAGCAGGUUGUUGGUAGGGUCUGAGCAGGGGAGAGGUGGGGAUGGGGUGGAAUUCAGGCCUCCCGGUGAUAGGGGCCAGGGGGCGCUCAGCACCACUCGGUGUCAGCCCCAUUUGACAGACCAGGAGGCUGAGGCCCAGGGAAAGGGAGCGACCCUUCCACGGUGUGGCAAACAGCGAAAGGAGUGGGAGGAAGUGAAGUGAGUCCUCUGCAGCGGCCCGACCGCCGGCAGCGCCCCCCACCCUCCAGCGUCUCCUCGGGCGGCGGUGUGGGCGCGCACAGGCCCCCGAGCCCGGACCUUCUCUCCGACGCGCGGCCUGCGCCCGCGGGGCCUCCCCCUGCGCGGGGGAGCGACCCCGCCGCCCCCGCGCCUCCAGCCUGCGCGGCCCUGAACCUGACAUCACUCGGCGCGCGGUUUCGGAUCCUCUUUCGCUUCUGCCGGGUCGGCUGGGAUUGCAUGAAAUUGCAUUUCGAAAGGGGAUGCGGAUUUCCACGCGGGAGGGUCUUGCGAAAGCUGCGAGGGGAGCGGGGUGUCCGAGGGCCGGGGAAGCUUCCUUGAGAGCCCCCACUCCUACCCCUGCCGCCCGACACCGUGCCCUAGAAAAGUCGGGGUAACGGUUACCGCGGGGUGGGGCGCUGGGGAGACACGGGGAGAGCCCGGUGGGGCGGCUGGCAGAGGUCCCCCUGGGCUCAGUGGGGCGCACCUUGCAGUGAGGAGUUAAGCCGUACGUUGGAGCACACGGAUUUUUCCGUGUCUGUAUUUUCUUUUACAAUAAAGCUAUUUUUUAUUUUA
This is a long non-coding RNA of Felis catus (domestic cat), 1002 nucleotides long. RefSeq lists it as uncharacterized. Lineage: Eukaryota; Metazoa; Chordata; Mammalia; Carnivora; Felidae. The transcript is spliced from 2 exons. The record is from RefSeq and is a predicted model, not a curated record.